UCCCUGGAGGACUAGUGGGUAGGCCACAGCACUAGCACUGCUGCGGUCUGGGUUCGAUUCCUGGCCAGGGAA
RNAcentral lists this transfer RNA (72 nucleotides) under Pangasianodon hypophthalmus (striped catfish). It matches the Rfam family "tRNA". Rfam says of the family: Transfer RNA (tRNA) molecules are approximately 80 nucleotides in length. Their secondary structure includes four short double-helical elements and three loops (D, anti-codon, and T loops). Further hydrogen bonds mediate the characteristic L-shaped molecular structure. tRNAs have two regions of fundamental functional importance: the anti-codon, which is responsible for specific mRNA codon recognition, and the 3' end, to which the tRNAs corresponding amino acid is attached (by aminoacyl-tRNA synthetases). tRNAs cope with the degeneracy of the genetic code in two manners: having more than one tRNA (with a specific anti-codon) for a particular amino acid; and 'wobble' base-pairing, i.e. permitting non-standard base-pairing at the 3rd anti-codon position. The record is from Rfam by way of RNAcentral. Lineage: Eukaryota; Metazoa; Chordata; Actinopteri; Siluriformes; Pangasiidae.